This 774-nucleotide ribosomal RNA is filed under the name uncultured bacterium. RNAcentral describes it as "bacterial SSU rRNA". It matches the Rfam family "Bacterial small subunit ribosomal RNA", at positions 28 to 811 of the family's 1533-position model. The record is from RNAcentral.
GACGAACGCUGGCGGCGUGCCUAACACAUGCAAGUCGAGCGGAGACAGUGAGUAGCUUGCUAUGAGCUGUUUUAGCGGCGGACGGGUGAGUAACGCGUGAGCAACCUUUCCCAGACAGGGGAAUAACACACCGAAAGGUGUACUAAUACCGCAUAAGACCACGGGAUCACAUGGUUCUGGGGUAAAAGAAUUAUCGGUUUGGGGUGGGCUCGCGUCCGAUUAGGUAGUUGGUGAGGUAACGGCCCACCAAGCCGACGAUCGGUAGCCGACCUGAGAGGGUGAUCGGCCACAUUGGGACUGAGACACGGCCCAAACUCCUACGGGAGGCAGCAGUGGGGAAUAUUGGGCAAUGGAGGAAACUCUGACCCAGCAACGCCGCGUGGAGGAAGAAGGUUUUCGGAUCGUAAACUCCUGUCCUUGGAGACGAGUAGAAGACGGUAUCCAAGGAGGAAGCCCCGGCUAACUACGUGCCAGCAGCCGCGGUAAUACGUAGGGGGCAAGCGUUGUCCGGAAUAAUUGGGCGUAAAGGGCGCGUAGGCGGCUCGGUAAGUCUGGAGUGAAAGUCCUGCUUUUAAGGUGGGAAUUGCUUUGGAUACUGUCGGGCUUGAGUGCAGGAGAGGUUAGUGGAAUUCCCAGUGUAGCGGUGAAAUGCGUAGAGAUUGGGAGGAACACCAGUGGCGAAGGCGACUAACUGGACUGUAACUGACGCUGAGGCGCGAAAGUGUGGGGAGCAAACAGGAUUAGAUACCCUGGUAGUCCACACUGUAAACGAUG